This 451-nucleotide long non-coding RNA is filed under the name Gossypium raimondii (Peruvian cotton). RNAcentral's name for it is "long non-coding RNA (GRAI_LNC005624)". Lineage: Eukaryota; Viridiplantae; Streptophyta; Magnoliopsida; Malvales; Malvaceae. The record is from RNAcentral.
GUUAAUAUUGAUAUUAAAGUGACAUGUGUUGUGUGAUUAUUGUCAUUAUAUGUAUUAUAAUUCGUUUAUUCGUAUUUUCAUGUCAUUGUGAUUCAUUAGUGUAACAUUUUUGCCCAGACCCAACAAUAAAAAAACAAACAAAAAAAUAAAUAAAUUAACAGUCUCAGUCCACUUACAACAAACCCAAACAGCCCAAACCCAAAAUAAAAAAAUCCUAGGCGGCUCGAUAAGCCCAAAAACAUAAACAACGUUAGAAAACCCUAGCCUCCCUCACCCUCUUCAGCCGCCAGCCUCCUCACGCGCGCCACCACCGUCGCACGCCAUCACCACGCUCGUCUGACACCUGCAAAAAUUGAAUGCAACAACAAAAAAGGCACGCCAAGCAAUAAAAACAACAGAGAAAAAGACAAAAAAAUAGAAAACAAACCGUUUGUAAAGAUCUAUAAAAACA